UUUCUGCUCCCUCUACGUCGGCAAAGGCGUAGACCUGUGGCUGGCCGAGAGGAGGGACCGCAAGAGGCGAAAGCCAAAGAGGAAGCAGAGGAAGCAGCGGGAGGAGAGGAGGGUGAAGGGCCCGGCGUCAGACCUUGGAGAGGAACACAGCCCCGGCAGAGUGUGAGGCUGCUCCUCCCCGGGAACCCCCCUCCUGUGUUGUGCUUGUUGUUAUUUAAUAAAUCUAUUUGUAUUACA
This is a long non-coding RNA of Gadus morhua (Atlantic cod), 237 nucleotides long. RefSeq lists it as uncharacterized. The transcript is spliced from 2 exons. The record is from RefSeq and is a predicted model, not a curated record. Lineage: Eukaryota; Metazoa; Chordata; Actinopteri; Gadiformes; Gadidae.